AAGUCGUAACAAGGUUUCCGUAGGUGAACCUGCGGAAGGAUCAUUAACGUUGGGGACUAACCAUCCCUCAGCGAGAUAGAACCCUUGCCUUUCAAGUACCACACGUUUCCUCGGCAGGUCCGCCUGCCAAUGGGGACCACAACAAAACCUUUUGUAAUAGCAGUAAACGUCUAAAAAACAAAAAUUUAAAACUUUCAACAACGGAUCUCUUGGUUCUG
Molecule: unclassified non-coding RNA, 218 nt
Filed under: fungal sp.
Lineage: Eukaryota; Fungi
Description: partial internal transcribed spacer region
Rfam family: Eukaryotic small subunit ribosomal RNA (bases 1-46)
Source: RNAcentral